Molecule: non-coding RNA, 258 nt
Filed under: Denitratisoma oestradiolicum
Lineage: Bacteria; Pseudomonadati; Pseudomonadota; Betaproteobacteria; Nitrosomonadales; Sterolibacteriaceae
Source: RNAcentral
UAUUGACGUAGCGGAAGGGGCUCGCCACAAUCACGCCCCGACGCAGCAUCCAGGAACACGGUGCAAUUCCGUGGCGGGCCCGCCGCUGUAAUCGGGGACGGAGAUCGCAGGGGGCCGGUGGCGCAAGCCUUCGGUCGCCAGCCACUGUCGGGGAUCACUCCGGCGGGAAGGCGCGGUCGGUGGACGUGGAGUUCCGCGAUCACCAUGAUUCCGGUCGAUCCGAGAGCCAGAAGACCUGCUCGUCGUCAGACUUUUGGA